UCUCUGACAAAUUAUUUUGAGAGAAAGUUGACCAUUUCCGUCUCGUGCUUUUAUCUUAGCGUCGUUAAUUUCUCAUUAUUUGUUAAUAAUAUAAUUUUGCGUCUGUCAUAAUCUGAGCAUCUAAAACAAGUCGUGGAUGUGGCUUUCAAACACAACAUUUUUCAAGAUCUAGAAAAAGUCGUACAAAAUUAAAGCGAGGAGGAAACCACAAUAAAAUGUCCCAGACAAUUCAUGAACAAGCUGGAUAAGCUUUUCAUCAGGGAAAUUGAUCUCGGAAAUGUGGACAAUGCUUGUCUGGUGCUUACUGUUUAACAAAAAUAUGGUGAGAUGCUUGUGUUUCCAGGUGGUGGAGGAAUAUCUGUAAUGAUUGCCCAGGGAUUUGUCAAAAAGA
Molecule: long non-coding RNA, 391 nt
Organism: Carassius gibelio (silver crucian carp)
Lineage: Eukaryota; Metazoa; Chordata; Actinopteri; Cypriniformes; Cyprinidae
Exons: 3
Source: RefSeq, a predicted model, not a curated record